AGCGAACGCUGGCGGCAGGCUUAACACAUGCAAGUCGAGCGGGCAUCCUUGUGGUGUCAGCGGCAGACGGGUGAGUAACGCGUGGGAACGUGCCCUUCGGUUCGGAAUAACUCAGGGAAACUUGAGCUAAUACCGGAUACGUGCGAGAGCAGAAAGGUUUAUCUGCCGAAGGAUCGGCCCGCGUCUGAUUAGCUAGUUGGUGAGGUUAUGACUCACCAAGGCGACGAUCAGUAGCUGGUCUGAGAGGAUGAUCAGCCACACUGGGACUGAGACACGGCCCAGACUCCUACGGGAGGCAGCAGUGGGGAAUAUUGGACAAUGGGGGCAACCCUGAUCCAGCCAUGCCGCGUGAGUGAUGACGGCCUUAGGGUUGUAAAGCUCUUUUCUCCGGGACGAUAAUGGCGGUACCGGAGGAAUAAGCCCCGGCUAACUUCGUG
RNAcentral lists this ribosomal RNA (437 nucleotides) under uncultured bacterium. RNAcentral's name for it is "partial 16S ribosomal RNA". It matches the Rfam family "Bacterial small subunit ribosomal RNA", at positions 29 to 507 of the family's 1533-position model. The record is from RNAcentral.